RNAcentral lists this ribosomal RNA (639 nucleotides) under uncultured Pseudomonas sp. RNAcentral's name for it is "bacterial SSU rRNA". It matches the Rfam family "Bacterial small subunit ribosomal RNA", at positions 35 to 670 of the family's 1533-position model. Lineage: Bacteria; Pseudomonadati; Pseudomonadota; Gammaproteobacteria; Pseudomonadales; Pseudomonadaceae. The record is from RNAcentral.
GCUGGCGGCAGGCCUACACAUGCAAGUCGAGCGGAUGAAGAGAGCUUGCUCUCUGAUUCAGCGGCGGACGGGUGAGUAAUGCCUAGGAAUCUGCCUGGUAGUGGGGGACAACGUUUCGAAAGGAACGCUAAUACCGCAUACGUCCUACGGGAGAAAGCAGGGGACCUUCGGGCCUUGCGCUAUCAGAUGAGCCUAGGUCGGAUUAGCUAGUUGGUGAGGUAAUGGCUCACCAAGGCUACGAUCCGUAACUGGUCUGAGAGGAUGAUCAGUCACACUGGAACUGAGACACGGUCCAGACUCCUACGGGAGGCAGCAGUGGGGAAUAUUGGACAAUGGGCGAAAGCCUGAUCCAGCCAUGCCGCGUGUGUGAAGAAGGUCUUCGGAUUGUAAAGCACUUUAAGGUGGGAGGAAGGGCAGUAAAUUAAUACUUUGCUGUUUUGACGUUACCGCCAGAAUAAGCACCGGCUAACUCUGUGCCAGCAGCCGCGGUAAUACAGAGGGUGCAAGCGUUAAUCGGAAUUACUGGGCGUAAAGCGCGCGUAGGUGGUUUGUUAAGUCGAAUGUGAAAUCCCCGGGCUCAACCUGGGAACUGCAUCCGAAACUGGCAAGCUAGAGUAUGGUAGAGGGUAGUGGAAUUUC